This 254-nucleotide ribosomal RNA is filed under the name uncultured bacterium. RNAcentral's name for it is "partial 16S ribosomal RNA". It matches the Rfam family "Bacterial small subunit ribosomal RNA", at positions 524 to 776 of the family's 1533-position model. The record is from RNAcentral.
UACGUAGGGACCAAGCGUUGUUCGGAUUUACUGGGCGUAAAGGGCGCGUAGGCGGCCAGCACAAGUCAGCUGUGAAAUCUCCGGGCUUAACUCGGAAAGGUCAACUGAUACUGUGCGGCUAGAGUGCAGAAGGGGCAACUGGAAUUCUCGGUGUAGCGGUGAAAUGCGUAGAUAUCGAGAGGAACACCUGCGGCGAAGGCGGGUUGCUGGGCUGACACUGACGCUGAUGCGCGAAAGCCAGGGGAGCGAACGGG